CAGCCGCCACGGUAAUACGGAGGGUGCAAGCGUUAAUCGGAAUUACUGGGCGUAAAGCGUGCGCAGGCGGUCCGCUAAGACAGAUGUGAAAUCCCCGGGCUUAACCUGGGAACUGCAUUUGUGACUGGCGGGCUAGAGUAUGGCAGAGGGGGGUAGAAUUCCACGUGUAGCAGUGAAAUGCGUAGAGAUGUGGAGGAAUACCGAUGGCGAAGGCGGCCCCCUGGGCCAAUACUGACGCUCAUACGCGAAAGCGUGGGGAGCAAACAGGAUUAGAUACCCGUGUAGUCCCUGUCUCUUAUAC
This 301-nucleotide ribosomal RNA is filed under the name uncultured bacterium. Its description in RNAcentral is "partial 16S ribosomal RNA". It matches the Rfam family "Bacterial small subunit ribosomal RNA", at positions 509 to 807 of the family's 1533-position model. The record is from RNAcentral.